CGGGACACGUGGUAUCCUGUCUGAAUAUGGGGGGACCAUCCUCCAAGGCUAAAUACUCCUGACUGACCGAUAGUGAACCAGUACCGUGAGGGAAAGGCGAAAAGAACCCCGGCGAGGGGAGUGAAAAAGAACCUGAAACCGUGUACGUACAAGCAGUGGGAGCACGCUUAGGCGUGUGACUGCGUACCUUUUGUAUAAUGGGUCAGCGACUUAUAUUCUGUAGCAAGGUUAACCGAAUAGGGGAGCCGAAGGGAAACCGAGUCUUAACUGGGCGUUAAGUUGCAGGGUAUAGACCCGAAACCCGGUGAUCUAGCCAUGGGCAGGUUGAAGGUUGGGUAACACUAACUGGAGGACCGAACCGACUAAUGUUGAAAAAUUAGCGGAUGACUUGUGGCUGGGGGUGAAAGGCCAAUCAAACCGGGAGAUAGCUGGUUCUCCCCGAAAGCUAUUUAGGUAGCGCCUCGUGAAUUCAUCUCCGGGGGUAGAGCACUGUUUCGGCAAGGGGGUCAUCCCGACUUACCAACCCGAUGCAAACUGCGAAUACCGGAGAAUGUUAUCACGGGAGACACACGGCGGGUGCUAACGUCCGUCGUGAAGAGGGAAACAACCCAGACCGCCAGCUAAGGUCCCAAAGUCAUGGUUAAGUGGGAAACGAUGUGGGAAGGCCCAGACAGCCAGGAUGUUGGCUUAGAAGCAGCCAUCAUUUAAAGAAAGC
This 715-nucleotide ribosomal RNA is filed under the name Escherichia coli. RNAcentral's name for it is "partial 23S ribosomal RNA". It matches the Rfam family "Bacterial large subunit ribosomal RNA", at positions 418 to 1133 of the family's 2925-position model. Lineage: Bacteria; Pseudomonadati; Pseudomonadota; Gammaproteobacteria; Enterobacterales; Enterobacteriaceae. The record is from RNAcentral.